RNAcentral lists this ribosomal RNA (490 nucleotides) under uncultured bacterium. Its description in RNAcentral is "partial 16S ribosomal RNA". It matches the Rfam family "Bacterial small subunit ribosomal RNA", at positions 29 to 507 of the family's 1533-position model. The record is from RNAcentral.
AAUGAACGCUGGCGGCAUGCCUUACACAUGCAAGUCGAACGGCAGCAUGACCUAGCUUGCUAGGUUGAUGGCGAGUGGCAAACGGGUGAGUAAUGCAUCGGAACGUGCCUUUUAGUGGGGGAUAACGUAGCGAAAGUUACGCUAAUACCGCAUAUUCUCUGAGGAGGAAAGCAGGGGACCUUCGGGCCUUGCGCUAGAAGAGCGGCCGAUGUCGGAUUAGCUAGUUGGUGAGGUAAAGGCUCACCAAGGCAACGAUCCGUAGCGGGUCUGAGAGGAUGAUCCGCCACACUGGGACUGAGACACGGCCCAGACUCCUACGGGAGGCAGCAGUGGGGAAUUUUGGACAAAGGGCGCAAGCCUGAUCCAGCCAUGCCGCGUGAGUGAAGAAGGCCUUCGGGUUGUAAAGCUCUUUCGGCUGGGAAGAAAUCGCACCCUCUAAUACAGGGUGUGGAUGACGGUACCAGCAUAAGAAGCACCGGCUAACUACGUG